Molecule: ribosomal RNA, 253 nt
Filed under: uncultured bacterium
Lineage: Bacteria
Description: partial 16S ribosomal RNA
Rfam family: Bacterial small subunit ribosomal RNA
Source: RNAcentral
UACGUAGGGUGCAAGCGUUAAUCGGAAUUACUGGGCGUAAAGCGUGCGCAGGCGGUUUUGUAAGACAGGCGUGAAAUCCCCGGGCUUAACCUGGGAAUGGCGCUUGUGACUGCAGUGCUGGAGUGCGGCAGAGGGGGAUGGAAUUCCGCGUGUAGCAGUGAAAUGCGUAGAUAUGCGGAGGAACACCGACGGCGAAGGCAAUCCCCUGGGCCUGCACUGACGCUCAUGCACGAAAGCGUGGGGAGCAAACAGG